RNAcentral lists this ribosomal RNA (496 nucleotides) under uncultured bacterium. RNAcentral describes it as "partial 16S ribosomal RNA". It matches the Rfam family "Bacterial small subunit ribosomal RNA", at positions 29 to 507 of the family's 1533-position model. The record is from RNAcentral.
AUGCACGCUGGCGGCGUGCCUAAUACAUGCAAGUCGAGCGAACAGAUGAGGAGCUUGCUCCUCUGACGUUAGCGGCGGACGGGUGAGUAACACGUGGAUAACCUACCUAUAAGACUGGGAUAACUACGGGAAACCGGAGCUAAUACCGGAUAAUAUAUUGAACCGCAUGGCUCAAUAGUGAAAGACGGUUUUGCUGUCACUUAUAGAUGGAUCCGCGCCGCAUUAGCUAGUUGGUAAGGUAACGGCUUACCAAGGCAACGAUGCGUAGCCGACCUGAGAGGGUGAUCGGCCACACUGGAACUGAGACACGGUCCAGACUCCUACGGGAGGCAGCAGUAGGGAAUCUUCCGCAAUGGGCGAAAGCCUGACGGAGCAACGCCGCGUGAGUGAUGAAGGUCUUCGGAUCGUAAAACUCUGUUAUUAGGGAAGAACAAAUGUGUAAGUAACUAUGCACGUCUUGACGGUACCUAAUCAGAAAGCCACGGCUAACUACGUG